UACAGAGGUCUCAAGCGUUGUUCGGAUUUAUUGGGCGUAAAGGGCGCGUAGGUGGCGCUGUAAGUCGGGUGUGAAAUUUCGGAGCUUAACUCCGAAACUGCAUUCGAUACUGCGGUGCUUGAGGACUGGAGAGGAGACUGGAAUUUACGGUGUAGCGGUGAAAUGCGUAGAUAUCGUAAGGAAGACCAGUGGCGAAGGCGGGUCUCUGGACAGUUCCUGACGCUGAGGCACGAAGGCCAGGGGAGCAAACGGG
RNAcentral lists this ribosomal RNA (253 nucleotides) under uncultured bacterium. RNAcentral's name for it is "partial 16S ribosomal RNA". It matches the Rfam family "Bacterial small subunit ribosomal RNA", at positions 524 to 776 of the family's 1533-position model. The record is from RNAcentral.